GCGGCGCUCCACCACCACCAAUGCAUCGGCGCCCCAACAGCAGGAGGAGAGGAUCCCUUGGAGUACAAGGAGUACAACGUCCUCCUGAGGCCGCAGCCGGACGACGAUGGCGUGCAGCGGAGCUGGCACCUGCUCUUCCUCCCCGGCAACACCACCGCCGGUCGCAAGCCGCGGCUGGUCCAAUCGUACAAGCACGUCGUUGACAGCUUUGCCGCCCCACUGACAGAGGUCGAUCGAGAUGGAAGCAGUGUCCAAGAAGCCCGUCUUCUGGUGCUACUUCCUGGACGGCAUCGCUCGCUUGCCUCCAAGCCCUCUAAAAAUUCAUUCGCUUGCAUUGCUGGUUUAAGCAGGAAGGAGGAUGGCAACCUUGCCGGAUCCGGCCAUGGUGCUGCACACGGCGGCGGGAGCACCCCAACGGAGCUACUACGAAUGCGCCGAGACAGCGGCGAUGGUGACAGCGCUGCCUGCGCGGCGGAGGUCGACGAGGCGGGAGAGAGAGAGAUGAAGGAGAGGAGAGCUGUGGAGCUCGUUGGCCGCCUCUUGUCGUCGGGGUUCAUAGGGACGAGGAGGGCAUCGCUACCGCUCCUCAAGAUCGACGGGAGAGAAGGGGAGGGGGCGAGGACGCCGAGGAAGAGGGAGUUGGAUGAGGGGAGCGACGGCAGCGGCGCUUGGGGCGAAUGGGAAGGAGGUGCUUGCGUUGAUGCGGUCGUCGUUGUUGGUGAGGUGGGAGGAGGGGGGGUGGGUGGGCGGAGGAGGGGAAGGGGAAGGAUGGAGAGAGUUUGUUAUCGUCGUCACCGACGAGGUGGGGGUGAUGGUGGUGCGUGUGGUGGAAAAAGGCCGCGAGCGGAGGAAGCCAUGGCCGACAACAUGGCAUGCCUGAUGCCAAUGCCCUCCUCCACAUCACCUGCUCCCACGUCAUAGUGUUGAUGUA
This 931-nucleotide long non-coding RNA is filed under the name Oryza sativa Indica Group (long-grained rice). Its description in RNAcentral is "lncRNA OsZS97_06G010230". The record is from RNAcentral. Lineage: Eukaryota; Viridiplantae; Streptophyta; Magnoliopsida; Poales; Poaceae.